GACUUAAGACUGGACAAAUGAGACAAACCAAUACUGACAGAUUUAUCCAUCUGUAAUUAUAGUCCCCACUAUCCUCAGCCAGAAUGGCCAAUGGCCAGGGAUCACGGGAGCUGGAGUCUAACAUUUGGGGACCUAAGGUUGCGGAAAGAUGCCACAGAGCCUGGGAAAAGUACUUCUGUGAGUGUGGUAUGAGGCAAGGAAUCUCAAACAGAGAACUCUCCGCACCUCAAAAAGAAAGCUUCUUCCAGCGCAAGAACAUGAUUUGAUUUGCGGAAAAAGCAGAAACCCUAAAGAUUCCAUCCAACAUGAGUUUUAUAGGAUAUUUCCUGUUUCCCAAAGCAGCUCAGAUCAAUGAAAAAAAGUCAUUCCUUUGGCCGAUGGGCUCAGUGUGCUUUCUCCAACCUGAGGGCAACAGGCAGAUAGAGUCUAGUGGUCUCUCAGGCAGAGGGCAAAGGCAAUCGCCCACAGGAUGGGACCAGAUUGGUCUCCCCCUUGCCUUGAAUUAUUCCUGGGAGGAAAAAGGUGGAGCCUCCCAGCGGCCCUAUGAUUCUUGGCAGAUAGCAGAAACCAGAGCAUGCACUGCUGGGUGAAGUACUUGAAUUGUCAAGGCUUUACAGACCCAAGUUCAAAUCCUCACUCAGACAUGAAGCUCAUUGGGUGAUGCUGGACCACUUACUCUCAUGCUUGAGAAUAUUAAAACAUCCAGAUUUAAAAAGUUUGUUUGCAUUUAGGGCUGACUUUAUGCAAGUGUGAGUUACAUGGCUCAGACAUUUAACGUCUAUUAUGAGUUUCUGUGAAAGCAGGUCUUGGGAGAGCAAGUCUCUGUGAUUAAUCUUUGGCUCAUGCGAGUCCUGCACUCUCUGUCUACACCUGUGCAGGUGGGGGGUCAGGUUUUCUUUUUCUGAAGAUCUACCUUUUCUUCAAGAACAACUUGGACAAGCAGAACACUAAAGCUUUCAGGAAAAUUUAAGUGCUCUUUAGG
Rhineura floridana is the source of this 982-nucleotide long non-coding RNA. RefSeq lists it as uncharacterized. The record is from RefSeq and is a predicted model, not a curated record. The transcript is spliced from 3 exons. NCBI's taxonomy places the organism in Eukaryota, Metazoa, Chordata, Lepidosauria, Squamata, Rhineuridae.